This 327-nucleotide ribosomal RNA is filed under the name uncultured eukaryote. Its description in RNAcentral is "partial 18S ribosomal RNA". It matches the Rfam family "Eukaryotic small subunit ribosomal RNA", at positions 1470 to 1796 of the family's 1831-position model. The record is from RNAcentral.
CCCUUAGAUGUUCUGGGCCGCACACGCGCUACACUGAAGGAGGCAGCGUGUACUCCUGGAUCGAAAGAUUUGGGUAACCCGCGAAUCUCCUUCGUGCUAGGGAUUGAGGUUUGCAAUUAUCCUUCAUGAACGAGGAAUUCCCAGUAAGUGCAAGUCAUAAGCUUGCGCUGACUACGUCCCUGCCCUUUGUACACACCGCCCGUCGCUACUACCGAUUGAAUGAUUUAGUGAGGACUUCGGACUGGGACCGAUGCGGCUUUCGGGCUGCGUCGGUAUUCUGGAAAGAUGUCCAAACUGUAUCAUUUAGAGGAAGUAAAAGGCGUAACA